Phrynosoma platyrhinos (Desert horned lizard) is the source of this 72-nucleotide non-coding RNA. The record is from the annotation of a GenBank genome assembly. Lineage: Eukaryota; Metazoa; Chordata; Lepidosauria; Squamata; Phrynosomatidae.
GCCAGUGUGGUAUAGUGGUUUGAGCAUUUAACUCUGACUCUGGAGUCCAGGGUUUGAUUCCCGGCUUAGCCA